This 253-nucleotide ribosomal RNA is filed under the name uncultured bacterium. RNAcentral describes it as "partial 16S ribosomal RNA". It matches the Rfam family "Bacterial small subunit ribosomal RNA", at positions 524 to 776 of the family's 1533-position model. The record is from RNAcentral.
UACGAAGGGUGCAAACGUUGCUCGGAAUCAUUGGGCGUAAAGCGCACGUAGGCGGCCUACUAAGUCGGAUGUGAAAUCCCUCGGCUCAACCGAGGACGUGCAUACGAAACUGGUAGGCUCGAGUAUGGAAGAGGGUCGCGGAAUUCCCGGUGUAGAGGUGAAAUUCGUAGAUAUCGGGAGGAACACCAGUGGCGAAGGCGGCGACCUGGGCCAAUACUGACGCUGAGGUGCGAAAGCGUGGGGAGCAAACAGG